CAGUUAAUUUUCUGAACACAGCACUUAAAAGCCAAAUUGUCAGUUUAAAGCCAGAUAUCUGACAACACCAUCAUUAAAGAUUAUAUUUGUUCUACAAAUGCUCAACAGACUCUCAAGUGAAGAGGCAUUGAGGUCAGCUCUAAAGACAUGGAGAUGAAUGAUUCAAUUCUGUUCUCGAGAAGCUCCCAUCAGGUCAAAAUGGCCAAUCUACUCUCUUCCACAUGCCACCGCAUCCCCAAAGUCAGGACUGUUGUCGUCAUUAAUAAGGUCUGGAAUGCCCAUGCUGCUCCUCUCUUCAUCCGUUGGCCCAGCUGUGUCCAUAAAAAACAUCAGGCUGGAUUUUUCCAGGCCUAGCUUGGUGGAAUAUUGGGCUGCCAGAAACAGUGUAACAGGACUAUUUCCCUACCACCAGCAAUGCCAGGAAGAAUAA
This 430-nucleotide long non-coding RNA is filed under the name Callithrix jacchus (white-tufted-ear marmoset). Its description in RNAcentral is "lncRNA (ENSCJAG00000069963.1)". The record is from RNAcentral. Lineage: Eukaryota; Metazoa; Chordata; Mammalia; Primates; Cebidae.